Molecule: ribosomal RNA, 500 nt
Filed under: uncultured bacterium
Lineage: Bacteria
Description: partial 16S ribosomal RNA
Rfam family: Bacterial small subunit ribosomal RNA
Source: RNAcentral
GACGAACGCUGGCGGCGUGCCUAAUACAUGCAAGUCGAGCGGACCGGAUUGGGGCUUGCCUUGAUUCGGUCAGCGGCGGACGGGUGAGUAACACGUGGGCAACCUGCCCGCAAGACCGGGAUAACUCCGGGAAACCGGAGCUAAUACCGGAUAACACCGAAGACCGCAUGGUCUUCGGUUGAAAGGCGGCCUUUGGGCUGUCACUUGCGGAUGGGCCCGCGGCGCAUUAGCUAGUUGGUGAGGUAACGGCUCACCAAGGCGACGAUGCGUAGCCGGCCUGAGAGGGUGACCGGCCACACUGGGACUGAGACACGGCCCAGACUCCUACGGGAGGCAGCAGUAGGGAAUCUUCCGCAAUGGGCGAAAGCCUGACGGAGCGACGCCGCGUGAGCGAAGAAGGCCUUCGGGUCGUAAAGCUCUGUUGUGAGGGACGAAGGAGCGCCGUUCGAAGAGGGCGGCGCGGUGACGGUACCUCACGAGAAAGCCCCGGCUAACUACGU